GAUGCUUACGAAAACAUUUCCAUUUCCUCCCUCCAAAAUAUUUCUAUAGCAUUCCCAGACCAUGCAUUAAACAUGACACUAGUUUUAAUUUAAAGGGCAGAAUUGCAGUUUCAUAAAUGUUGCAGAAAUCGUUUUCUUAGUGUUAUCGACCAGAAUGUUUGUAACAUUAAAAUUACAGCAGUGUACAAUAGAAACCGCAUAAAAGAUGGGGUUUGGAUUGCUGAAUGGAUUUCCUGACUACAUACACGACUCGUUACUACAAGCAGUUACUGUGCCACCGCUAAUCUCCACGAUUCACAAAUCACCACAGCACCAGUUAAGCCUUUUUCCAGCUUGCUGUGUCUUCAUCAGCCAUUACCUGGCAACGACUUCUAACAGUGGAGAUUCUUCAGCUGGACACUCUGAGGUUCUGUCUUCAAAGCCUCCUUUGCAGAACUGACUAUCAGCUGACAAAUGACCAGGUAUAACUUUGCCCAUUGCUUAUAACAUCUUGGCACAUUCCAUGUAGAAACAUUUUUGUUUUGUUUUGUUUCUGACGUCACGAAGCAGCAACAGCUCUCCAACAACCGCGCCGAGACAAUGGCUCUGUCAUCAUUCGCACCAUAGGCAGCUGUUCGUACUGGCGCACGCAGCACUGCUUCACCGGCCAGCCAGACCAGCUGAACAGCCAUGAAGAAGACCUGGUCUGCUGCAAAGCAGCUAAAGCUACUAGUGAAAGCACGAUUGAACAAACGGCCCUUUUCUGGGCCCACAAACUUGUGAGCAACUAUUCUGUACAUUCGAGAAUAAUAUAUACAAUUGUUAUAGUUUUA
Molecule: long non-coding RNA, 812 nt
Organism: Cryptotermes secundus
Lineage: Eukaryota; Metazoa; Arthropoda; Insecta; Blattodea; Kalotermitidae
Exons: 2
Source: RefSeq, a predicted model, not a curated record